GUAGGGAAUCUUGCGCAAUGGGCGAAAGCCUGACGCAGCCAUGCCGCGUGAAUGAUGAAGGUCUUAGGAUUGUAAAAUUCUUUCACCGGGGACGAUAAUGACGGUACCCGGAGAAGAAGCUCCGGCUAACUUCGUGCCAGCAGCCGCGGUAAUACGAAGGGGGCUAGCGUUGCUCGGAAUUACUGGGCGUAAAGGGCGCGUAGGCGGAUAUUUAAGUCGGGGGUGAAAGCCCGGGGCUCAACCUCGGAAUAGCCUUCGAUACUGGAUAUCUUGAGUACGGGAGAGGUGUGUGGAACUCCGAGUGUAGAGGUGAAAUUCGUAGAUAUUCGGAAGAACACCAGUGGCGAAGGCGACACACUGGCCCGUUACUGACGCUGAGGCGCGAAAGCGUGGGGAGCAAACAGGAUUAGAAACCCCUGUAGUCC
Molecule: ribosomal RNA, 425 nt
Filed under: uncultured bacterium
Lineage: Bacteria
Description: bacterial SSU rRNA
Rfam family: Bacterial small subunit ribosomal RNA
Source: RNAcentral